CAGAUGGACAGAUUAUAGCUUUAGCGAUUCUGAAUUUAUAAUAUUAUUCCUUAACAACAUACAUUUACAAUGAGCAUGUACUCAUUUUUAUAGUGCUGAGAGAAGACAGCCCCUUCAGAUCUUAUGGAAAUCAAUUCCAUCUAGACGAAUUGAUACCCCUUCCAGCCCCUUGUGAGAACCAGAGAUUGAACAUAUUCUGCAAAACAAAGAAUCUUCCUGGAUAACAGCAGGAGCGACCCAAACUUCCCUUUUGGGGAUCUCGGCUAUCCUCAAGACAAAAGUCCAAGAGGAAACUUUGAUUGUAGUCCCAUCACCAAUAGACAUUUCUGGGACCCUUCCUUUGUCUUCUCAGCAUGAGAAGAUGUCUAGAGAACCGGCACUCAUUUUCUUUUUAUUCAGUACCUCAUAUCUACAUAAUCCUAUCAAUCAUCUUUUCAAACUUUUUUGUCUUCAGCAUUCCAUUACUUCACACACAGGGAUUGACACAGCCCCUGGAAAUGUCUUCGCUCCCAGGACCACCUCUGCUGGCUCAUUGGAAGCCCUAAGGCCUACCUGCCCAGCUGGAAGGAAAUCCCCGGCUGCAUCAUCGCUGCCUUCACCAAUCAGGAUACAACCCAGCUCCUGGCCAAUCAGAUGCCUGGCCGGCUUCUCAGCGCUGGCCAAUUGGGGGACGGGAGGAAGUUUUUAAAUAUAGCAAUGUUAAUGCAUGGAAUCCUUUUGUAUAAAAAUGCCUGCUUAUGA
Molecule: non-coding RNA, 741 nt
Organism: Anolis sagrei ordinatus
Lineage: Eukaryota; Metazoa; Chordata; Lepidosauria; Squamata; Anolidae
Source: RefSeq, a predicted model, not a curated record